CAUAAUCAUUUGCCUUCUAAUUAAAGGCUAGUAUGAAAGGACAAACGAAACUCUCACUAUAUCAUUAUUACCUCUUAAAACUUAAUCUUCAGGUGAAGAUGCCUGAAUUUUCAUGAAAGACAAAAAGACCCUAUAGAGUUUUAGUAAUAUUUCCCUUAUAUAUUACUUUAGUUGGGGCGACUAAGGGUUUCAAAAACCACCCUCUACACCCAAGACUAAUAACUCUCAUAAAAGACCCAGAAAAAACUGACCUAAAAAAUAAACUACCUUAGGGAUAACAGGCUUAUCUUCCUAAAGAGUCCAAAUCAAAAGGAAGGUCUGGCACCUCGAUGUUGGCUUAGAGUAACCUAUUAAUGCAAAAGUUAAUAUACGUCAGUUUGUUCAACUGUUUAAUCUCU
RNAcentral lists this ribosomal RNA (398 nucleotides) under Bathyfauvelia sp. 636-5-3 PB. Its description in RNAcentral is "partial 16S ribosomal RNA". It matches the Rfam family "Bacterial large subunit ribosomal RNA", at positions 1960 to 2597 of the family's 2925-position model. Lineage: Eukaryota; Metazoa; Annelida; Polychaeta; Phyllodocida; Polynoidae. The record is from RNAcentral.